This 515-nucleotide ribosomal RNA is filed under the name uncultured bacterium. RNAcentral's name for it is "partial 16S ribosomal RNA". It matches the Rfam family "Bacterial small subunit ribosomal RNA", at positions 28 to 523 of the family's 1533-position model. The record is from RNAcentral.
GAUGAACGCUGGCGGCGUGCCUAAUACAUGCAAGUCGAGCGAAUGGAUUAAGAGCUUGCUCUUAUGAAGUUAGCGGCAGACGGGUGAGUAACACGUGGGUAACCUGCCCGUAAGACUGGGAUAACUCCGGGAAACCGGGGCUAAUACCGGAUAACAUUUUGAACCGCAUGGUUCGAAAUUGAAAGGCGGCUUCGGCUGUCACUUAUGGAUGGACCCGCGUCGCAUUAGCUAGUUGGUGAGGUAACGGCUCACCAAGGCAACGAUGCGUAGCCGACCUGAGAGGGUGAUCGGCCACACUGGGACUGAGACACGGCCCAGACUCCUACGGGAGGCAGCAGUAGGGAAUCUUCCGCAAUGGACGAAAGUCUGACGGAGCAACGCCGCGUGAGUGAUGAAGGCUUUCGGGUCGUAAAACUCUGUUGUUAGGGAAGAACAAGUGCUAGUUGAAUAAGCUGGCACCUUGACGGUGCCUAACCAGAAAGCCACGGCUAACUACGUGCCAGCCGCCGCAGUAA